UCCAUUGCUCAGUUGGUAGAGCACAAGACUCUUAACCUUGUGGUCGUGGGUUUAAGCCCUACGAUGGAG
RNAcentral lists this transfer RNA (69 nucleotides) under Triticum aestivum (bread wheat). It matches the Rfam family "tRNA". Rfam says of the family: Transfer RNA (tRNA) molecules are approximately 80 nucleotides in length. Their secondary structure includes four short double-helical elements and three loops (D, anti-codon, and T loops). Further hydrogen bonds mediate the characteristic L-shaped molecular structure. tRNAs have two regions of fundamental functional importance: the anti-codon, which is responsible for specific mRNA codon recognition, and the 3' end, to which the tRNAs corresponding amino acid is attached (by aminoacyl-tRNA synthetases). tRNAs cope with the degeneracy of the genetic code in two manners: having more than one tRNA (with a specific anti-codon) for a particular amino acid; and 'wobble' base-pairing, i.e. permitting non-standard base-pairing at the 3rd anti-codon position. The record is from Rfam by way of RNAcentral. RNAcentral also lists the same sequence under 1 other name. Lineage: Eukaryota; Viridiplantae; Streptophyta; Magnoliopsida; Poales; Poaceae.